This 3140-nucleotide long non-coding RNA is filed under the name Canis lupus familiaris (dog). RNAcentral's name for it is "lncRNA (ENSCAFG00845004608.1)". Lineage: Eukaryota; Metazoa; Chordata; Mammalia; Carnivora; Canidae. The record is from RNAcentral.
UUCUUUGACUGUAGAUGCCUCUUCCAGUCGCUGGAGUUUCGGUGAGCACCAGGACACCUCCAGAAUUACAGCAAGCCCUCCAACCACAUGAACCAAGACUUGGGUUGUGUGCUUGUUUAGUAUCUCUAACAUUAAUUACUAGUUAUUUGGGGAAAUGGGUUUUUUUAAUCUUCUAGUAGCAGAACGGGAGGUAAAGUGUCCCUGUGCUGUUCUGUCCCCAGUGUGGUCAGCAUCACCAGAGUAGUGGCUUUCGAUUGUGGCUGAACAUUGUACUGCUGGGGCACCUUAGCAGCGACUCGGAUGCCACCCUUGGGUUGUAGAAAGGAAGCCUUCCCAGAGAGGAGAGAGGCCAUGUGCGGGUUGCCAUGGUGCCCCUGCCUCCAGCCUAUGCAGACAGUUCAUGGUAAUGUACUGGGAUCCCCAGAGAAGCAAGUUUACCUGUUUGGAGCCUUUUCACUAAGCUCUUUUAGUAGCUUGUGUUCUUAAUCAUAGCCUUGUGCCACACACAUUGAGAGAUCACUCAAGUCACAGUGCUAUCAUCUACUGGUCUCCUACUCUGAUUUGCUUGGCUGACUUGCCAAGUUAUAGUUAGGUUCUCAUUAAAAUAACGUACAGUUCUUAGGAACACGUGGUGUGUGGAGUCCAAAUUCACUCUGGGGUAAGCAACCCCUCACCUGCCAAAAUGGAAGAAAGCCCUGUUGUAGAGUACUUCAUUGAGUUCUGGGUUGUGAUACUGGGAUCCAGGGCAUGUCCCUGGCUGUGUGAAUGGCUUAGCUGUCCAGAAACACAUCUAGCCUCUGUAACCUGUGCUGGUCAUUCACCCCUAGCAGAUAAGAGGCUCUGUUGCUGGCCUGUCUGUCCCCUGUAAGGCAGACUAGUGCCCUCUCCAGAAUAAGGCCCUCUGACCUGAGAAUGCCUUUUCCCAGGAAUCGGGAACAAGAGGUAAAAGAACAUUUUUGUUGGUACCUGCUUCCAAGUCUCAGAACACAUCCUGUGUGUUUAGCUGAGAAAAUGUCCCUUCAGGUAUCAUUCAUGGGUAUGUAAUCUUCAGGCUCCUAAGGUAUGUAUUUCAUCUAGGCCAAAAUCCCUUGGAAAUGACUGAGGUAUUGAGAAACUGUAAAAGAUCUCCAGUCUCUCGAGUUGUAGAGAUGAGUCAGUCCAGUAGGGCCUUAGGUGUCUUGGUCAGUGUACAGUGUAGUGUAUAGCAGUACUGCAUCCACUCUUGAGGUUGCUAUCUGCUGUGGGACAGUGGACUUUUCAGCCAUUUGGUUGCCAGUGAAGGGCUCCUCUGUUACCCUUUGUGUGCAUAUGUCAUUGGUUUGGAAGAUGUGGGCAGCUUUGCUUGAAAGAGGAGGCGUGUGGAACCCUCCACCACCUACCUCCAAUCGUGUGUGUAUGUGACAGAGGUGGAGCUUCCCUAUUGUGUUUCCUCAGAUCAGCACACCCAGCCACAGACAGAAGGGCAAACUUGCAAAGGGACAGGAUAUGUGUAGCAAGGGGAAGCCUGCCAGCCUGGAAUCAAGAGUUCUCAUUUUGUCCCUGGAGUGAGUAAUGGACCCCUGGAGAGAGAAUAAGGUCAUUCUAGUGAACCCAACAUUUUCUAGGGUACCAGGUGAAUUGUUAUUUAUGUGUUAUCUGCUCUUGAGGGUUUGAACUCAGUAUUUUAUGCUGCAAUAUUCAGUAUUUUUGUAAGUUUCAUAGUUGGGUCAUUUACACUGAGCACUUGAAUCGUUAAACUUGGUGUUAGGGAUACAGAUUCAAUGAUUUCCCUUCAGUAGACCCUGACAUGUAUUUACAGGCAUCUUUGAAACCAGUACGAAUGCUAGGGGACUGUUGAAAGUGAAUUACAGGGAGGUUUUUCCUUAGUGUGUCAAUGAUGACUAACAAGACUUGGAAGUUCUCCUACAGGGAAGGAUGUCAUGAAGCUUAUCUGGUUGGUAUGUUUGCCCAGUAGCCAAGAGAGUGCACCAUGUACUGUGAGUUCCAUUCAGAAUGACACAUGGCGUUCAUCUCAUUGUCCUAUUUGUAACAAACAGUUCGGUUGCCCGAGGGGCUUAUGGAAGCAUUCUGCUUUCAUUUCUCAGCACAUUCAGUCACAUCCUCAUGGUCUGAUUCAUGGGCAACACAAGCAAGAACUUUGUGAUUGGCAGAUGUGCCAUCUUCUGUCUUUCCCUCCCUCAGUGGAAGUUUCUAUUUAUUGCUCUCAUAGGCUGCUUGCACUUGACAAAGCCAACUAGUUAGGAAGCUAAGAUUGCAAUCGAAAUGGGAUGCUUCGGAUUAAGCAAAUAAACCAGUGGGUUUACUACUGCACAGCCGUCAAACAAAUGUGCAUUAUCAGUAAGGUGUGCCAGCUUGGGUACACCGAUCUGAUGGUCUGUUCAGUCCCUCGGGACGGAUGGAAGAGCCAAGGCUUUCCUGUUAACUGUUCUGGCUCUUUGUCCUUAGUGAAGACCAUGCCCGUUUCACCAGUUUCUUGACUGUCAUUGGAGUUGGAAAACAUUUAAAAAAAUGGGACUUUUAAAAAUAGCUGAUGACCAGCAAGAUCACCUGUUUACAGCCAACUGUGCAUGUGACGUCGUGUUUUUCAUUUAAAACCAGUCCAGUACAUUGCUAAGCAGGUGUGGCUUUCCUUCAGCAAGCCUUUUCUCUUGCUUCCUAGGGUGUGUGUGUGUGUGUGUGUGUGUGUGUGUGUUAAGUGUUGCUAUUCAUCUUCUGGACUGACCAUUCCCAUCUUAUUUAUAUCUUUUGGGGAAAAGUUUAUUUGCUUGGAAAAUGAAAUUGACCUUCUAGCCUGGCUUCACUCUGUGGUAAUGUUUGUUCUGAAUUUUGAGGAGUAAACAAUGAACCAGUUCACAAGCGCUCCAUCCCCUUCAUGUACUUGUCUGCUCUCUGCCCCCAUGGGAAGGGCACCCUGUUGUAGGUGGUGAGUGGGGGGCUUCCUCACUUCCAGAAGUUGUUACACAUGGUUCUCCCCCAGUUGCAUACACCUUCUGCUUCACAGACCUGGUUGCGUCUCUUGCUGUACACUGAUCAUAAUUGGGAUCAUUUGCUGAUUUGCUGAAUGCAAGAACAUUUUGUCAAGUGAUCUUUCCUUGGAAACAACUGGCAUGCAAGCUUUUAAAUCCCUGUGUUUGCAUUAA